RNAcentral lists this ribosomal RNA (433 nucleotides) under uncultured bacterium. RNAcentral describes it as "partial 16S ribosomal RNA". It matches the Rfam family "Bacterial small subunit ribosomal RNA", at positions 29 to 507 of the family's 1533-position model. The record is from RNAcentral.
AACGAACGCUGGCGGCAUGCCUAACACAUGCAAGUCGAACGAGACCUUCGGGUCUAUUUGCGCACGUGUGCGUAACGCGUGGGAACCUUCCCUUAGGUUCGGAAUAACUCCCCGAAAGGGGUGCUAAUACCGGAUAAUGUCUUCGGACCAAAGAUUUAUCGCCUUUGGAUGGGCCCGCGUUGGAUUAGCUAGUUGGUAGGGUAAAAGCCUACCAAGGCGACGAUCCAUAGCUGGUCUGAGAGGAUGAUCAGCCACACUGGGACUGAGACACGGCCCAGACUCCUACGGGAGGGAGCAGUGGGGAAUAUUGGAAAAUGGGCGAAAGCCUGAUCCAGCAAUGCCGCGUGAGUGAUGAAGGCAUUAGGGUUGUAAAGCUCUUUUACCCGGGAUGAUAAUGACAGUACCGGGAGAAUAAGCUCCGGCUAACUACGUG